This 442-nucleotide ribosomal RNA is filed under the name uncultured bacterium. RNAcentral's name for it is "partial 16S ribosomal RNA". It matches the Rfam family "Bacterial small subunit ribosomal RNA", at positions 338 to 795 of the family's 1533-position model. The record is from RNAcentral.
CCUACGGGAGGCAGCAGUGGGGAAUAUUGGGCAAUGGGCGCAAGCCUGACCCAGCAACGCCGCGUGAAGGAAGAAGGCUUUCGGGUUGUAAACUUCUUUUGUCAGGGAAGAGUAGAAGACGGUACCUGACGAAUAAGCCACGGCUAACUACGUGCCAGCAGCCGCGGUAAUACGUAGGUGGCAAGCGGUGUCCGGAUUUACUGGGUGUAAAGGGCGUGUAGCCGGGUUGACAAGUCAGAUGUGAAAUCCUGCGGCUUAACCGCAGAACUGCCUUUGAAACUGUUGAUCUUGAGUACUGGAGAGGCACGCGGAAUUCCUGGUGUAGCGGUGAAAUGCAUAGAUAUUACGAAGAACCCCAAUGGCGAAGGCAGGGUGCUGGCGAGCAACUGACGGUGAGGCGCGAAAGCGUGGGGAGCGAACAGGAUUAGAUACCCUAGUAGUC